Molecule: long non-coding RNA, 594 nt
Filed under: Malus domestica (apple)
Lineage: Eukaryota; Viridiplantae; Streptophyta; Magnoliopsida; Rosales; Rosaceae
Description: long non-coding RNA (MDOM_LNC003748)
Source: RNAcentral
UAUCAAUGUCAAAUAUCACAUCAGCCAAAUCCUUCUAACUCAAUCUGCACAGCUGAGUAUAUAGCUCAUACCCAAUCUCAAUCAUAUCAAAUCAAAUCCUACACACGAGUUGAAACCACCUAAAGUGGUCUGUAUGACAAGACUAGGUGUAAAAUAAAUAUGCUCUAGUGCUACGAUCACGUGAAGGUUGUGCGAAUAAUCGCGGGUCACCUACGAGUUGGAACCACCUAAAGUGAUAUGUACGACAAGCCUGUGCACCUAACUUGGAUCCAAGGUGAGCAUAUGGUGCGGGAGGUGAACAUCACAUGAAGAACUGUGCCCUAACUCGGGGCGGGAGCACUAAUAUCGGGGUGCAGGUUUAUGAGCUCUCAAUACAUCACAUCAUAUCUCACAUAACUGAAGCAAUCUCCUAUCUUUAAUUUAUUAACUUACCUGGCAUUUACUAGUGCGUCCACAACACCAAUCAUAAAUGUAUGCAACUACUAAUGCAUAAAAAGAUAGACAAAUACUGUGCAUGGCAUUUCAAAACGUAUAUUCAUUUAAAUUCAUUUUCUGGGAAAAAUCUCUAGUAUAUAGGUAUAUACGGAAAACCAA